RNAcentral lists this transfer RNA (89 nucleotides) under Caballeronia fortuita. Its description in RNAcentral is "tRNA-Ser". The record is from RNAcentral. Lineage: Bacteria; Pseudomonadati; Pseudomonadota; Betaproteobacteria; Burkholderiales; Burkholderiaceae.
GCGGCGCUGGUUCAGGUCUUCGCGGAACUCGCGCUGCUUGCGCUGGAAGUCCGCGUCGAGCUGCGCGAGGUCACGCUGGCGCGCCGCGC